RNAcentral lists this non-coding RNA (183 nucleotides) under Desulfosporosinus orientis. Lineage: Bacteria; Bacillati; Bacillota; Clostridia; Eubacteriales; Desulfitobacteriaceae. The record is from RNAcentral. RNAcentral also lists the same sequence under 1 other name.
UUAUAAUUUAUAGAUUCAGGUAUCGAGCAUGAGUGCUCGAUUUAAAAGGAAGCAGGUGUGAUUCCUGCACGGUCCCGCCGCUGUAAUGGAGAGAUGGUUCGUGGAUGCCACUGGUUUGAUCUGGGAAGGCGCGAAACAUUGAUGACACAGAGUCAGAAGACCUACCUGUUUUUAUACACCCAA